GACGAACGCUGGCGGCGUGCUUAACACAUGCAUGUCGAACGGAAAGGCCCGCUUUUGUGGGGUGCUCGAGUGGCGAACGGGUGAGUAACACGUGAGUAACCUGCCCUUGACUUUGGGAUAACUUCAGGAAACUGGGGCUAAUACCGGAUAGGAGCUCCUGCUGCAUGGUGGGGGUUGGAAAGUUUCGGCGGUUGGGGAUGGACUCGCGGCUUAUCAGCUUGUUGGUGGGGUAGUGGCUUACCAAGGCUUUGACGGGUAGCCGGCCUGAGAGGGUGACCGGCCACAUUGGGACUGAGAUACGGCCCAGACUCCUACGGGAGGCAGCAGUGGGGAAUAUUGCACAAUGGGCGGAAGCCUGAUGCAGCAACGCCGCAUGCGGGAUGACGGCCUUCGGGCUGUAAACCGCUUUCGCCUGUGACGAAGCGUGAGUGACGGUAAUGGGUAAAGAAGCACCGGCUAACUACGUGCCAGCAGCCGCGGUGAUACGUAGGGUGCGAGCGUUGUCCGGAUUUAUUGGGCGUAAAGGGCUCGUAGGUGGUUGAUCGCGUCGGAAGUGUAAUCUUGGGGCUUAACCCUGAGCGUGCUUUCGAUACGGGUUGACUUGAGGAAGGUAGGGGAGAAUGGAAUUCCUGGUGGAGCGGUGGAAUGCGCAGAUAUCAGGAGGAACACCAGUGGCGAAGGCGGUUCUCUGGGCCUUUCCUGGCGCUGAGGAGCGAAAGCGUGGGGAGCGAACAGGCUUAGAUACCCUGGUAGUCCACGCUGUAAACGGUGGGUACUAGGUGUGGGGUCCAUUCCACGGGUUCCGUGCCGUAGCUAACGCUUUAAGUACCCCGCCUGGGGAGUACGGCCGCAAGGCUAAAACUCAAAGGAAUUGACGGGGCCCCGCACAAGCGGCGGAGCAUGCGGAUUAAUUCGAUGCAACGCGUAGAACCUUACCUGGGUUUGACAUGGAUCGGGAGUGCUCAGAGAUGGGUGUGCCUCUUUUGGGGUCGGUUCACAGGUGGUGCAUGCCUGUCGUCAGCUCGUGUCGUGAGAUGUUGGGUUAAGUCCCGCAACGAGCGCAACCCUUGUUCACUGUUGCCAGCACGUUAUGGUGGGGACUCAGUGGAGACCGCCGGGGUCAACUCGGAGGAAGGUGGGGGUGACGUCAAGUCAUCAUGCCCCUUAUGUCCAGGGCUUCACGCAUGCUACAAUGGCUGGUACAGAGAGUGGCGAGCCUGUGAGGGUGAGCGAAUCUCGGAAAGCCGGUCUCAGUUCGGAUUGGGGUCUGCAACUCGACCUCAUGAAGUCGGAGUCGCUAGUAAUCGCAGAUCAGCAACGCUGCGGUGAAUACGUUCCCGGG
Molecule: ribosomal RNA, 1342 nt
Filed under: uncultured bacterium
Lineage: Bacteria
Description: 16S ribosomal RNA
Rfam family: Bacterial small subunit ribosomal RNA
Source: RNAcentral